Molecule: long non-coding RNA, 359 nt
Filed under: Triticum aestivum (bread wheat)
Lineage: Eukaryota; Viridiplantae; Streptophyta; Magnoliopsida; Poales; Poaceae
Description: long non-coding RNA (TAES_LNC013005)
Source: RNAcentral
ACUGGGACGAGAGAGCUAAGAUCCCUGAUCCAGUUGCGGUGAAGCCCGAUGACUGGGAUGAGGAUGCCCCAAUGGAAAUUGUGGAUGAGGAGGCCACCAAGCCAGAAGGAUGGUUGGAUGAUGACCCUGAGGAAAUUGAUGAUCCAGAGGCUGCUAAGCCUGAGGACUGGGAUGAUGAGGAGGAUGGUGAAUGGGAGGCACCGAAGAUGGACAACCCCAAGUGCGAAGUGGCACCUGGAUGUGGUGAAUGGAAGAAGCCGAUGAAGGAUAACCCUGCCUACAAGGGAAAGUGGCAUGCCCCCCUGAUUGACAACCCCAACUACAAGGGAAUCUGGAAGCCCCAAGAAAUCCCCAACCCG